Molecule: long non-coding RNA, 1070 nt
Organism: Oncorhynchus tshawytscha (Chinook salmon)
Lineage: Eukaryota; Metazoa; Chordata; Actinopteri; Salmoniformes; Salmonidae
Source: Ensembl
CUUGUGACCUUGCUUUCCCCAUUACUUGUUACCUUGCUUUCCCCAUUACUUGUUACCUUGCUUUCCCCAUUACUUGUUACCUUGCUUUCCCCAUUACUUGUUACCUUGCUUUCGCCAUUACUUGUGACCUUGCUUUCGCCAUUACUUGUGACCUUGCUUUCCCCAUUACUUGUGACCUUGCUUUCGCCAUUACUUGUGACCUCGCUUUCGCCAUUACUUGUGACCUUGCUUUCUUCCCUACACUUUAUCUACAGUAACCUCCACUCUAGGUAUGGCUGAAAUAUGACAUGCUCUAAAUGUGUCUCAACCAGACCACUCCUACUCUGCUCUGCUGCUUGUGCUGUAGAUGGAACAUAAUGGUACUGUAAUGACAAGCUGUAACCUGCUGCUUCUACAUACUAAGCCUUGACUAACUUCCUAUAUAGCUAUGGCUCUCUGAAAUGGAAUGUAGUUAUUUAUUCAUAGGAAAUAAUUGAUAAGGAAUUGAUAAGAUUCGAUUGGUCAGUUUUUUGUUGUUGUUUUUUUUUAAAUGUAGUCUGGAGUUAACUAAGGGACUUGUCACCAAGAUUGAUUGAUUGCUUUGCCCUGAUCAUUUUGGUCUGAAAUCUAUCAGUUACCACAGUACGGUGUCUCUCCGUCAGAGCUCUUUCUCUCUUUGUGUCAUAGUUUAUUUUUACUUGGCUCUGUUAGAGCUAAUAGGGGAAGUGUUUAUGUGGCAAAAUAGUCGUGGCCAUCAUGAUGCUCGUAUACCUUUUAACACACACUUAAAAGGAAGUGUUUACACAUAUAAACAUAUGUACCAGAGUGUGUUUUCUCUGACGUAUGUGUUUUUAUUAUCCGGUGUUAAUGCAUAAAGCUAUGCAUGUGUGUGUCUAUGUAUGGUUUUAUCAUCGUCCCUGUAGGUUUGAGCCUCCAUUGUCCCUUAAGGUACGACUGUGUUAUAGCAAUAAAACCAACUGAACUAUAUUUUCCCAAUUAAAUAUAUCUGAAAUGGUUGUUCAGAGAGGGGUGACGCAACAAAGUGUAUUUUCUUAAUGUUUACAAUCAACUAAUAAACAUCUCAAUGAACA